Molecule: long non-coding RNA, 2876 nt
Filed under: Sus scrofa (pig)
Lineage: Eukaryota; Metazoa; Chordata; Mammalia; Artiodactyla; Suidae
Description: lncRNA (ENSSSCG00035033643.1)
Source: RNAcentral
UUUUUACUUAAUGAAUUUUAUUACAUUUACAGGUGUACAACAAUCAUCACAACCAAGCCCUACAGCAUGUCCAAGGAAUCCCUCCUCUGUCCCCCUUGGCAACCACUGAUUUCUGUCCCAAAAGUUUCCCAUUUUCCAUGAUAUCAUAGUAAUGGAAUCAUAUAAUAUGUAUGAUUUUGAAUCUUUUGAGCCUGGCUUCUUUUAGCUAGCAAAAUGUAUUUCUUACGCAUCCAUGUUGUCAUGUGUAUCAACAGUUUACUCAUUUAUAUUCCAGAGAAGUAUUGCGUUGUGUGGAUGUAGCUCAGUUUGUUUAUCCAUUAUUUAGCUAAUGGACAUUUGGGUUGUUUCCAGUUUUUGAUAAUUAUAGAUAAAGCUACUAUAAACAUUUGUGUACAGAUGUUUGUUUAAAGACAUAGCUUUCAUUUCUUUUGGGUAAAUGCCUAAGAAUGGAAUUGCUGGAUUAUAUGGUAAGUUUAUAGUCAACCUUAUAAGAAACCGCCAAACUGUAUGUAAUGACACUUCCUCUCCUUCAGUUUUCUUUUUCAUUUUACCCAAAAAUAUUUCAAAAUUUUAUAUACUUCUCUAUAGCUCCAGUGUCUGAAAUGAAUGUCAAAGGAUAUCACUGUUGUAAAAACUGUGAGUAGAUUUACGAAGUUCCUUCGUCCAGGUAUAUGCUAUGUUCGCUGCUCCCCUUUCAAAUAAAUGAUCAAGUUCUGCGAUCAGCUUCCUUUAUGUCAUUACAGUUUUUUCCCACUAGAUGGCAACUGCUCAUUGUUUGGAACUGCCAUGUAGCUAAAAAGAAGAAAACAGUGUAUAAUAAAAGAAGAGACAGGCUAUAAAUUGUGAAGUGCUUUACUCCAUAAUUGCGUAAAAAAAAAAAAAAAAGAAAAAACUACUUCAUUGACUGCCAAGUCAGAGCUCAUCAUAACCUAAUGUGUGUGCUUUCUAAAGCUUUUCAAUCUAAGUUUGGAACUACCAAAUGUGGAUGGAACACAGCAUAUAAAAAAUGCAAAACAAGGUGUCUUUUGAACAUAAAUCAGUGGAAUAGAGCAAGAAAAUACCUUGCAGCAAAUACCACUCAUAAACUUGAACUAAUUUCUUUGAUACACAAAAAUUUAUAAGUUUUAAGAUACCACAUUGAUUCAUUUUCUAAAAUAGCUGUAGGUAAACUGAAAAGUUAGUUGUUUUUUUUUUUUAAUGUUUGUUUGUUGCUGUUAUCUUGGCAUCAAAUAGGACCCUUCUCUGAAUUAAUUUUAUUCAUUAGUCAAAUAUUUACUAAGUUCUUCUUAUGUCUCAAGCUUUGUGCUAGGCAUUAGUAAUACUAAGAGGAAAAAGACUUAAUCUGGGAGGAGGAUGAUGAUGAUGAAGAAAGCAAUAGCAGUAAUAGUUAUGACUAUUUAUGGCAUUUAAACAGUCCAGUUAUAUACCAGAACUUAUUCUAAGAUGUUUAUAAACAUUAUUCUACAUAAUCCUUAUUACCACAGGCUUGUGAGACACUGUCCCUAUUUUACAGAUGUGGAGACUGAGGCUCUGUGCCAAGAGGUAACCUCAGUUGAGACAAAAAUGAUUUCAAGUCGUAUUUAGGUAAAGUGUGGGCUGGAGAUGUGAUUUGAGAAUCCGUCUUUGCAGCUGUAUGACAAUGGAAGCAAACCAGGUAUUUCUAUGUCCUCAGUUUCAGACAUUUCAUAGCUGAGAGCCUUCAAGUUUCCCUCACAGUAUGAUGGUGGUCACAGGGCAGAGAUGGCAGCAUGGAGGGUCUAAGGCAAAGGCUAGAUGCAGGACAGAUGGAGGAUGCAAGGGACAGACCUGAAGGACCAGUCAGAGUCAAGAUGGAGCCAAUUCUUCAAGCUUCAUUCAUACCAGAAGAAGAUUCUAGGAAAGUCACCAGACACGAUCUCCAGCUGUGGAUAUCUGCAUGAUUCGUGGAGACCAGGACAAGGAAGACUCCCAUGGCUACCAGCAAAGCCCCAGAGAUCACAGACACUCACAGGAGGUGAUUUUGCUUGCUCCCAUUACCAUGAAAUAUAAACUUGCUCCCACCCCAGAUACCGUAUUCAGGAGGAUCAGGAGGGAAAGAGAAAAAGGUUUAAGAAGAAAGAAAUACAAUUUGGCUUGACAUUUGUCCAAAUGAUGUUUCUUUAAAUAUAUAAGCAAAGACAUUAAGUUCUUAGCCUUUUGGUAAGAUGACUUUGAGGACCUGUUAAAAGUCAUGACACUUACUUCUACCAGCCCACACCCCACUCCAAACAGACACACACAAACACAUACACACAAAUAAAUUAAAAUUUUUCCAUAUAUAUCCACAGCAUUUAGAGAAUAAUGGAGGUUCAUUUAUCAACUCUCUGAAGAUCCAUGGAUUGCAGGUUAAGAAAUCCUAGUGGUGGACAUGGCGCUAGACUUGACUUUUCACUCAGUCAUUUAUCAUUCAUAUGAACUUGGAUAAAUCAACCCCUCUCAGAAUUUCAGGUUUCUUAUUGUGUUUGUUAAAUAACCAUUAAAUGGUGGGAAUAGAAUAGAGAUGGCUAUGUAACUUUUAAAAAUUGCACCUAUAUAAAAUUCUAUAAUAUAUUAACCUACUUAGAGUCCUCUGUGGUCCUAUAGAUUUAUUUCAGAUUUGUUAUCAAUGACUUCUAAUUAUCCUCUUAAGAGUCUGCCCCUUUUUCUCCAUCUCACCAGCAUCAGCAUAGCUCUGGGGCAGUCCCCAUAUUCACCUAUGAGGAGCUGUGGUAGCAUUCCAGGUUAUCUUCCUGUUUCAAUCCUUGCUCCUUCUUAUUCAUUAAACACGCUACUCCCAACUCACCACUUCUUCCUAUAAUUCUCCUGCUCAAAACUAUACUAAAGCUCUCCAUUCCAUUAGAGAUCACAUUUAAAACCUA